Molecule: ribosomal RNA, 449 nt
Filed under: uncultured bacterium
Lineage: Bacteria
Description: partial 16S ribosomal RNA
Rfam family: Bacterial small subunit ribosomal RNA
Source: RNAcentral
AACGAACGCUGGCGGCAGGCUUAACACAUGCCAGUCGAACGCAUCCUUCGGGGUGGGUGGCAGACGGGUGAGUAACGCGUGGGAACAUGCCCUUCAGUUCGGAAUAACCCAGGGAAACUUGGGCUAAUACCGGAUACGUGCGAGAGCAGAAAGAUUUAUCGCUGAAGGAGUGGCCCGCGUCUGAUUAGCUAGUUGGUGAGGUAAAGGCUCACCAAGGCGACGAUCAGUAGCUGGACUGAGAGGAUGAUCAGCCACCCGGGGACUGAGACACGGCCCAGACUCCUACGGGAGGCAGCAGUGUGUAAUAUUGGACAAUGGGCGCAAGCCUGAUCCAGCCAUGCCGCGUGAGUGAUGAAGGCCUUAGGGUUGUAAAGCUCUUUCGGCGGGGACGAUAAUGACGGUACCCGCAGAAGAAGCCCCGGCUAACUUCGUGCCAGCCGCCGCGGUAA